UGGCAUACACCGUGUGAAUAGGACAUCCUUGGGGCCAGAUGAGAGGGCUUCUCAGCCUUGGGGCCAGGAGCAGGCAACCAUUGAGGACUCACUCCCCCUGCGCCAGGGAGCCUGAUUUCUGAGUUCAUGCUGGGCAGGUUCCCUGGGAAUGCGAAGAAUAAAAGUGGGCCUAUUUGGAACGCCAUAGGAACUCCAAGCCACAACUCCACACAGCCAGAUCACCUCCAAGGCCUACGCCCUGAUAAUGGAGCAAAGCAGACAAGGAGUGGGGAAGGAUCCGAAUGCAAAUGGCCUUGCCGGCAGUGGCUCCCUUGGGAAGACGCCGUCUCCAGCUUCCUGGAGCCACAGACAGUUCCAGAGAGAGUGGCAGCCUCCCUUCCACCACCAGGCUGAGGCCCAGCUCCACUCCCCCCCACCAGGCUGCUGUUCCAGCCUCCGUCAGCCCCUCCCAACCUGCUUGUCUGGAGUCUGAGCCACGUUUUUUAUUUCCCUUUGGGUGCAUUUCUGGUAUUGCUUAGUUGCUUUCCUGAGAAGUCGGUUUGAAGAACAUCUCUAUUCUUUAAAGCAAGGCAUACCCAUGUCCUCUUGAGCUAAAAUUGUAUUUUAUUGAGGAUUCCCUUAUAUUGUGAUUAUUUAAUGGACAAUGUGUCCUGCUGGGAACAGCAGCAAAUAUAACAUUGGCAGAGGAAAAAGAUGCACUUUCUGAGACACAUUUGGCAAAGUAAACCCAGCUUCUUACAAGAAAAGAAUGUAAUGAAUUUUCCUCUAUUUUUAGUCACACAUAAAU
Molecule: long non-coding RNA, 787 nt
Organism: Manis pentadactyla (Chinese pangolin)
Lineage: Eukaryota; Metazoa; Chordata; Mammalia; Pholidota; Manidae
Exons: 3
Source: RefSeq, a predicted model, not a curated record